RNA transcript from Epinephelus fuscoguttatus (brown-marbled grouper), 5548 nucleotides. It is a transcript of the gene named proline-rich coiled-coil 1, with no coding region annotated. NCBI's taxonomy places the organism in Eukaryota, Metazoa, Chordata, Actinopteri, Perciformes, Serranidae. The transcript is spliced from 2 exons. The record is from RefSeq and is a predicted model, not a curated record.
ACGAAUGUGUGGUAGGAACUAAAAGUUUCUGAGGAUGUUCUCUGGGUUCAACACAAGUGAUGGACCCUUUGAAGGAGUUACCCUUCUACGAGGCAGAUUUAGAAGCCACACCAGUGAAGUAGCCUAAGUCUAGGGCUCAGAGAAGCCAAGUUUUGGUGACAGCUAAGACACAGCAUGAGGAAGUCACACAACCAAGCCAGCCUUUUGACUUUGACAUUCCAUCUGAUAUGGCAGCAUUGCAGAGGGCUGACCCAUCACUAACAUCAUGGUUUGAGAAGGUUACAGAGAUUGAGGGUGAGAGUCAGGGUACAGCAGGCUGCUUAGCUGAUUUCAGCUAUGUCAUUAAAAACUGCAUUCUGUAUCAGCGUCAAGGUGAUGUUAUGGCCCUAGCUUUACCUCAGAGCCUAACUGAGAAGGUCAUGAGCUAGGUCAUUCCAUCCCAUGGUCAGGCCAUCUAGCUUUCCAGAAAUCAUUGAGUAGAAUCUCCAGGAGAUUUGUGUGGCCAGGAAUGUACACUCAAGUUAAAUUAAAAAAUUAGAUUUUUGUUCCUCCUGUGAGACAUGCCAACUCACCUCACCUAGGGGAGUAGCCCGUUACAGCCAUUACCACUGAUAGAAACUCCUUUUGACAGGAUAGGGAUGGAUGUAGUAGGCCCUCUGGAAUGAAGUAGCACUGGUAAUAGGUACAUCUCAGUGAUUUGUGACUAUGCCAUGCCUUAUCCAGAAGCCUUUCCCCUAAGAUCUAUAAAGGCCAGGUGGGUUGCAGAUUGUCUCAUACAGCUCUUCUCCAGGGUGGGCAUACCUAGGGAGGUACUUACAGACUGUGGCACAAACUUUCUGUCCAGACUUAUGCAGCAGGUAUACAAGUUGCUCGGUGAUAAGGGUAUUAAGACCACCCUAUACCAUCCCCAGAUGGACGGGCUGGUGGAAUGUUUCAACCAGACCCUGAAAAACAUGCUGCGGAAGUUUGUGUCCCACACAGGCUCAGACUGGGAUCAGUGGCUGCCAUACCUGCUGUUUGCCUACCGGGAGGUUCCCCAGGCCUUGACAGGAUUCUCGCCCUUCGAACUUUUCUAUGGGCAAGGUGAGGGGACCACUGUACCUGUUGAGAGAGCAUUGGGAGAGCCCACCAGCGGAGCAGGACAAUGUGGUCAUCUAUGCUUUGAAAAUGAGAGAGAGACUUGGCGAGAUGACUGCUCUAGUCCAAGAGCACAUGAAAGCUGCACAGGCUUACCAGAAGACGUGGUACAACAGGAAGGCCAGGGAAGGAACUUUCCAACCAGGCCAGCAGGUGUUGCUACUCCUCCCUACCAGUGACAGCAAGCUGUUAGCAAGGUGGCAGGGGCCAAACAAAAUCACCAGACAGCUGAGUAAGGUCACCUAUGAACUUUUUUAUGCCAGAGAAACAAAAGAAACGUGAGCAUUUCCACAUUAACCUGCUGAAAGAGUUCCAGGUGCCUUCGCAAUCAAGUCAGCAGCUGCCUGUUCUGCAGCCACAGCAGCCACCAGUCCGCCAGCAGCUCUUCAUCUGUGCCACUGAUGGAUCUGACGAUGAGAGGGAGCAGUCAUUCCCCACUACUGACACAGAGACUGGUUCAGCAGAUGUGUCUCACCUUAAGCCAGACCAGCAGAGGGAGAUAAAGGCACUGUUGGACCCAGAGCUCUUUCAAAUAAGGCCAGGUUUCACAACCCUUGUCAAGCACAAAAUCCAUCUGAAGCCUGAUGCCAUCUCUCGCCGCAAGAGCUACAGGAUUCCUGAGUGUCUGGUCCCGCAGCUGAGAACAGAAAUUGAGUUGACGCUGGAGAUGGGCAUCAUUGAAGAGUCGUCGAGUGAGUGGUGCAGCCCAGUGUUGUUGGUCCCCAAGAAUAACGGUUCGCUGAGACUGUGCAUUGACUUCAGGUACCUUAAUGCAGUUUCAAAGUUUGAGUCCUAUCCCACGCCAAGGAUUGAUGAGCUGCUGGAGAGAGUGGGAAAAGCAAAGUACAUCACAAUGCUUGGCUUCAGUAAAGGUUACUGGCAGCUAGCCCUGGCAGCAGAAUCCAGGGAACUGAUAGCCUUCAGAACACCCUAUGGCAGCUUCCAGUUCAGGGUCAUGCCUUUUGGUCUCCAGGGGGCACCAGCAACCUUCCAGAGGCUGAUUGUCCAGCUUCUGAGAGAGGUGCCACAGUUCGCAGCAGCUUAUCUGGAUGACAUUGUGAUCUACAGCCGGACCUGGAAACAACACCUGGCACACAUCUGGCGGGUCCUUCGCCUGAUUAAAGAUGCUGGCCUAACCAUUAACCCAGGCAAGUCUGUUUUUGCCCAGAAGCAGGUGGAGUACCUUGGCCACAUGGUUAGUCAGGGAGUGGUCAAGCCUCGACUGCUUGGCCAUCCUGGGCGGACACACCAAACUGACAUCAAAGAACUAGCGGCGACGAAAGCCAACCAUUGCAUCGUCUGUGUCAGUUGCAUUUGAACACACCACACGGACUACAUCCGAUGGCCAAGUGGCACGUACGUUCUGCACCUGCGUGAGAGAGAGCGGAGUGUUAGAGUGGUACAUCCUGACAGCCUAUCUGUGCAGCCAAGUACCGCAUCACCUCCACGGACUAUUACAUUCAGUCGGUCCCGGUGUUUCCUCCGCAGGCUCCACUUCACUCAGCUUCACUCAGCUGCCCGAUAAUCCCGCUGCUUCUUCCCACUUUAACCUGAAUAACAAACUAGGGCUCGGUGCUCCGGUUGGAUCCAAAGGGAGAGCCGGGGCUAGCUCAGAGACUAGCGGAGGCUAACUGGCUGUGCGUCCCUCCGUCAUGCCGCGGCUAACGCUCCUCUACACAUUAAAAUUCACCUCAUAUCACACGUUUAUUAUAGAUCCACUUCAUAAAAAUUCAAAUGUGGCAGUGUUAUUUAUAUUUGUGCCAGUGAGCCGGAACUUUUCUAUAAACACUUUUUGAUUGCAAAAGAGGUCACCUUAAAUCUCAAAUACCUGCUCAGUAUUUCAUUAGCGCUGUCACACUAUCACAUUCCCCACCGCCGGAGUGCAGAGGAGAGGGUCGGGGUCAGACUGUAUGCUGCUGACACUUCCAGCUGUGGAGAGCACCAUGCACAGCUGGAUGAUGCCAGGCUGUGGCAAGUGAUAGGAUUCAGGAACGUCUGGCUUUACCCAAUCACCUCAACCAUUGCCGUACUGCACUUCUCACCCAGCACCACUUGCACAGAUCUCAAGGUGCAAUUCUUUUGUUUUGGCCUCCACCUUUAGGUUUGACCUUUUUUAAAAAAAAAAAAAAAAAAAAAAAAGGAAAGUCAGGUGGUGUCCUGCUUGCUGAACUCACUGCAUUAACAGCAGCAGUAACAUGUUUCUACUCGCUGCCUUUUUUUCAGUUUGUGACUCCACUGCCCACCAAAAAAUAGGUUAUGUGCUCUCUGACCUUCAGCUCACCAAAAAGCAACAGUGAUUUCUGCAUCAGGCUUAUGCGUUUUUCUUGGUUUUCCUCUCAGUCGUUGCCAUGAUUUACCGCAAAGAACCAUUGAUCAGUUGGCUCAUGUCUAUGCAUCAGCAUUAAUGAGGUGCUUUGCAUUGACCCUUUAUGGUUGAAUGUUGGCGUGUAGAGAGCGGGAUAUGAGGCUGGUCCAUGUGCAGACAAUUUCAAGUUGAUUUGGGAUUUAUAAAAAGAAACUGCAUACUGGCAGGUGUACAUACAGUUUUAUAAUUCAGAAUAUUGUUUGGCCUACUUAAAUUUCCUCAUUUGUAUGUACGCAAACAGAUAGUGUGGAUUCUCUGCAGAGUUUUAUAAAUGAAGCCCCAGAGCUGUGCACACGGCUCUGCCGCAGAUGAGUAGGCCUUUCUGUGUGUGGGGUGUUUGUUUGUUGUUGUUUUUUUUUUGUGUGUGUGUGUGUGUGUUACACUCAACAUCACCAACAGGCCAGAAGACAACUUAGUAAACAGUAAAAAGUAACAUGGAGCCCUGUGAAAACUUAACAGUGGUUUCUUCUAUCUUACUUAUUUAGUCUUUUUUUUUUUUUUUCAGAUUCCGUGCAGAUUAAUUUGGAACGAUGUUUUAGCACUACUUGGACGGAAACAGAUAGUAUUUUUUUGGUGGCGUGCUAUUGUAUCUCCCCGAUUAAGGGGCUACAAUUAGCAAUAACAAAGGCAAUGUCCAUGCUGCAGUGACUGCAGGUUCAAUUCCAGCCUGCAGCCCUUUGCUGCAUGUCAUCCCCUCUGUCUCUCCCUUUCACACUUAAAUACUGUCAAAUAAAGGCAAAAAGACAAUUUAUAUUUCUUUUUCAUUGUUAGAAUUCUUUAAAAAUGCAGUUGAGCAUUCACCUGAGCGUUGUGUUUCCAUCACUACCAACCAGAGCUGGGGCCGAUGAAUAUUUGUGUUGGGAACAUAAAUUAGGUCUCACACAGCGACACCAGUUAUGUUGGGAACAUAAAUUAGAGGGUGUCACACGGAGGCACCAAUAAAGUUGUAAACUGGAAAUUUGGAAAUAAUUAAUAAUUAUUAAUAAUAAUUAAUAAUUAUGUUAAAUAAUGUGACUUAAUUAACAUUAAAUCACCUCGUGGGGCACCAUUCCCGUAAAGGGGAAAGGGGGAUAGCCAGUUAAAGAUAUCAGUCUCAUAAAAUACGAUAAACUAUUAGUUUGGAGUUUUGAUUAAUAAUUAAAUUAAUGACAGUAACCAAAAUUAACAGUAAAGACUGAAGGAUUUCGGAGUUCUUAAUGCAGCAGAGGUUGACUAUUCAUUCACCCUUGUGCAACAUUAAACAGACAGCAGGUAUGAUUCCAAAGAAUUAUAUGUAUUCACAAACUAGCAAAGCAAAGCAAAACACACAAAUUCUCAAAUUCUAACUAACUAUAUAUGAGCCUGGCGGGCUCACGGCUCCGGCUCACGGAGAAGAGUAAGGACGUAAGCGUGGCAGCCAUCUAGUGCUAACUUAACAGGAAAGCAGGGAAAUAGCUAAACACAGCAGAGACUGAGAGUGAGUGAAAGACAUCGCUAACUGCUAAACUAAGUUGGCUGUUUAGGUUUUAUUUCCUCGCCCCUGUGGCGAGUGAAUCUGCCUGUAGUGAAACUGGGGCUAACCGGUGCUUCUUCCUCAUGCUCCACUUCACUCAGUUGCCAGCACAGCCAAUUAGCCCCCGCUAGCCUCCCAGCUAGCGGGGGCUAACCAGUGCUUCCUCCUCAGGCUCCACUUCACUCAGCUGCCAGCACAGCCAGUUAGCCUCCGCUAGCUCCCCAGCUAACGUUAGCCCCAACUCUCCGUUUGGAUCCAACCGGAGCACCAAGCCCUGGUUUGUUAUUCAGGUUAAUGUAGGAAGAAGCAGCGGGAUUAUCGGGCAGCUGAGUGAAGUGGAGCCUGCAGAAGAAACACCGGGACCGUCUGGAUGUAAUAGUCCGUGGAGAUGCUGCGGUGCUCAACUGCACAGAAGAGGCUCAGUCCCUGACCCCUCCAGACUACAACCUGCGCUGGUCAGGUCUGAUUGUUACAGUGGGUGAGGUCCUGGAGCGCAGCCUGCCCAACAUCAACAGUACAGACUGGCAUCAGACCAUGACGGGCAUGACCCUUCG